CCUACGGGUGGCUGCAGUGGGGAAUAUUGCACAAUGGGCGCAAGCCUGAUGCAGCCAUGCCGCGUGUGUGAAGAAGGCCUUCGGGUUGUAAAGCACUUUCAGCGGGGAGGAAGGCGUUAAGGUUAAUAACCUUGGCGAUUGACGUUACCCGCAGAAGAAGCACCGGCUAACUCCGUGCCAGCAGCCGCGGUAAUACGGAGGGUGCAAGCGUUAAUCGGAAUUACUGGGCGUAAAGCGCACGCAGGCGGUCUGUCAAGUCGGAUGUGAAAUCCCCGGGCUCAACCUGGGAACUGCAUUCGAAACUGGCAGGCUAGAGUCUUGUAGAGGGGGGUAGAAUUCCAGGUGGAGCGGUGAAAUGCGUAGAGAUCUGGAGGAAUACCGGUGGCGAAGGCGGCCCCCUGGACAAAGACUGACGCGCAGGUGCGAAAGCGUGGGGAGCAAACAGGAUUAGAUACCCUAGUAGUC
RNAcentral lists this ribosomal RNA (465 nucleotides) under uncultured Klebsiella sp. RNAcentral's name for it is "bacterial SSU rRNA". It matches the Rfam family "Bacterial small subunit ribosomal RNA", at positions 338 to 795 of the family's 1533-position model. Lineage: Bacteria; Pseudomonadati; Pseudomonadota; Gammaproteobacteria; Enterobacterales; Enterobacteriaceae. The record is from RNAcentral.